UACAGAGGUCUCAAGCGUUGUUCGGAUUCAUUGGGCGUAAAGAGCUCGUAGGCGGCUUGUCGCGUCGAAUGUGAAAUCUCAGGGCUCAACUCUGACAUUGCAUUCGAUACGGGCAGGCUAGAGUUCGGUAGGGGAGACUGGAAUUCCUGGUGUAGCGGUGAAAUGCGCAGAUAUCAGGAGGAACACCGGUGGCGAAGGCAGGUCUCUGGGCCAUAACUGACGCUGAGAAGCGAAAGCAUGGGGAGCGAACAGG
Molecule: ribosomal RNA, 253 nt
Filed under: uncultured bacterium
Lineage: Bacteria
Description: partial 16S ribosomal RNA
Rfam family: Bacterial small subunit ribosomal RNA
Source: RNAcentral